RNAcentral lists this long non-coding RNA (242 nucleotides) under Elaeis guineensis (African oil palm). RNAcentral describes it as "long non-coding RNA (EGUI_LNC080873)". Lineage: Eukaryota; Viridiplantae; Streptophyta; Magnoliopsida; Arecales; Arecaceae. The record is from RNAcentral.
UAGAUGGUCACUUCGAUUAGUACAGGAAUUGGUUCCUGUGCUACCGGCUUAGGUUCAAACCUGCGGGGUCACACACAUUAGAGGUUCCUUUCUGAUCUGAUGGCUGAUUAUGAGUCUUAUGUGUCUGGGACUCUAUGAUUGAGAAUUAAGAUUCUCUGAUCAUGAGUUCCACACAUUUUGGGUACCGGGGUCAAAAUUUUGAAUUUCAAAUUUUGAAUUUGAAAUUUGAACUCUUUGAUCAG